Molecule: long non-coding RNA, 1434 nt
Organism: Chenopodium quinoa (quinoa)
Lineage: Eukaryota; Viridiplantae; Streptophyta; Magnoliopsida; Caryophyllales; Amaranthaceae
Exons: 2
Source: RefSeq, a predicted model, not a curated record
AACCGGUUCUCCUUUUGUUUUUUAUUUUUAUUUUUUUUACAUUUUCUAACACAAAGAGCACUGGUUACCCGGUUUCCUUUAUUUUUUAAUUUCUAACCCAGUUAAUCUCUCUCAUCUGGUUCUCUUUCUCAUCUCUCGUUCUCUGAUUCUCUCUCAUCUGCCUCUCUCUCACAUCUUCCUCUAUCCCUGGUUCUCUCAUGCAUUCUGUUUACUUUUUGUUCUCAUUCUCAAUAACCAUUGCUGAUGUCCUUCAAAAACCGCCAGCAAUUUGAACAAGGACAGUCAUCAUCGUCGUCGCCGUUAAUAAUGGAGCAAUUGAAGUAAUAUCAUGUUGAGUCAGCUGCUGGAAGCAACACGUAGGCAAACGAAAUGUUAGCGCUGCUCCUUAUAUGAAGUUACCCUGUUAGUUAGUCUGUAGGUAGUUGGUGAUUUGAAUUUGUUGAUAUCGGCAACAACCAUGUCAACAGUAACAUGUUGUCAAAGAUUUGCAGGUCUUGGUGAUUUGAAUCAUUUGAUAUCAAGUUGUUCAUGCCCUUCACAGUUCACACAAGAGUGAAUCAGCUCUCCACGUUAUUCUGCUUCUGUGCUGCUGCUUUCGCUUUUGUCCUGUUGUUCUACUUCUGUGAUGCUCCUUCUGUGCUGCUGCUUUCGCUUCUGUCCUGUUGUUCUACUUCUGUUAGGGGUGAGCAUAGGAUAGGUACCCGUACCGUUAGUAAUAACUGUUCGGGUACCCGAUAACCAAUAUCACUAAAAGUGAUAUCCAUAACCCAAACCGAUAAGUUCGGGUACCCGGAUUUCGAGUACCCGAAUUUUCGGAACGGUUAUCGGGUACCCUAUAAAGUAUCCAAUAGUGAUAAUUAAACUUAAAAAAUUAGUUAUUAUGAUAUUUUUUAACACUAAUUAACAACAAUACCACAUGAUCACCACAUGAUCUUGAACAAAUUAUUAAUAACGUUACUAAUUAUUGAUAUUUAUAGUGAUUAUGAAGUAAUGUAAGAGUUUAAAUAUUGAAAAGAUAGAUUUAAGUAAGAAAAAAAAAUUGCUUAUCGGAACGGAACGGAUACCUGUUAAUUUUAAAAUGAUACCCAAAAACCAUACCCGAUAACAAAUUAUCGGAACGGGUACCCUAAUUUUCGGAACGGUAACGGAACGGGUUUUCGGUUUUUCGGGUAGUUUUGCUCAGCCCUAACUUCUGUGAUGCUCCUUCUGUGCUGCGCACUUCUGAUAUUGCUCUUUAUGUAUAGGUGGAUUUGGUGAUGUCUAUAAGGGUAAUUUAGAUGAAAGUUUCCCAUAUACAAAAUGUUUAGUGCGUGUUUAAUAUACAUGUUGCUACAUAUGUUGCUCUAUGUGUGUAACUUGUAUUUUAUUUUAUUUUUUUGGACUAAAAUUGUAAUAUUAUAGCCUUUUUAAAAUGAAGAUAUGUAAGUUUAUAUA